GAAUCCCGUCUUUGACACGGACUGCCUGCAUGUUAUGGUGCGCUCUCAAAGAGUCGAGUUGUUUGGGAAUGCAGCUCAAAAUGGGUGGUAAAUGCCAUCUAAAGCUAAAUAUUGGCGAGAGACCGAUAGCGAACAAGUACCGUGAGGGAAAGAUGAAAAGCACUUUGGAAAGAGAGUGAAACAGUACGUGAAAUUGUUGAAAGGGAAACGCUUGAAGUCAGUCGCGUCGACCGAGACUCAGCCUCGCCUCGGCUUGGUGUACUUCUCGGCUGACGGGUCAGCAUCAAUUUUGCCCCUUGGAUAAUGGCGAGGGAAAUGUGACACCUUUGCGGUGUGUUAUAGUCUCUCGUCGCAUGCAAGGGUCGGGAUUGAGGAACUCAGCACGCACCUUUGGGCGUCGGGGCUUUGCCCACGAUACGUGCUUAGGAUGCUGGCGUAAUGGCUUUAAACGACCCGUCUUGAAACACGGACCAAGGAGUCUAACAUGCCUGCGAGUGUUCGGGUGGAAAACCCGUGCGCGCAAUGAAAGUGAAAGUUGGGACCUCUGUCGUGGAGGGCACCGACGCCCGGACCAGACCUUCUGUGACGGUUCUGCGGUAGAGCAUGUAUGUUAGGACCCGAAAGAUGGUGAACUAUGCCUGAAUAGGGUGAAGCCAGAGGAAACUCUGGUGGAGGCUCGUAGCGAUUCUGACGUGCAAAUCGAUCGUCAAAUUUGGGUAUAGGGGCGAAAGACUAAUCGAACCAUCUAGUAGCCGGUUCCUGCC
Molecule: ribosomal RNA, 764 nt
Filed under: uncultured Russula
Lineage: Eukaryota; Fungi; Basidiomycota; Agaricomycetes; Russulales; Russulaceae
Description: partial 28S ribosomal RNA
Rfam family: Eukaryotic large subunit ribosomal RNA
Source: RNAcentral